Molecule: ribosomal RNA, 762 nt
Filed under: Serratia nematodiphila
Lineage: Bacteria; Pseudomonadati; Pseudomonadota; Gammaproteobacteria; Enterobacterales; Yersiniaceae
Description: bacterial SSU rRNA
Rfam family: Bacterial small subunit ribosomal RNA
Source: RNAcentral
AGCCCCUGGGCGCAGGCCUUAAACAUGCAAGUCGAGCGGUAGCACAGGGGAGCUUGCUCCCCGGGUGACGAGCGGCGGACGGGUGAGUAAUGUCUGGGAAACUGCCUGAUGGAGGGGGAUAACUACUGGAAACGGUAGCUAAUACCGCAUAACGUCGCAAGACCAAAGAGGGGGACCUUCGGGCCUCUUGCCAUCAGAUGUGCCCAGAUGGGAUUAGCUAGUAGGUGGGGUAAUGGCUCACCUAGGCGACGAUCCCUAGCUGGUCUGAGAGGAUGACCAGCCACACUGGAACUGAGACACGGUCCAGACUCCUACGGGAGGCAGCAGUGGGGAAUAUUGCACAAUGGGCGCAAGCCUGAUGCAGCCAUGCCGCGUGUGUGAAGAAGGCCUUCGGGUUGUAAAGCACUUUCAGCGAGGAGGAAGGUGGUGAGCUUAAUACGCUCAUCAAUUGACGUUACUCGCAGAAGAAGCACCGGCUAACUCCGUGCCAGCAGCCGCGGUAAUACGGAGGGUGCAAGCGUUAAUCGGAAUUACUGGGCGUAAAGCGCACGCAGGCGGUUUGUUAAGUCAGAUGUGAAAUCCCCGGGCUCAACCUGGGAACUGCAUUUGAAACUGGCAAGCUAGAGUCUCGUAGAGGGGGGUAGAAUUCCAGGUGUAGCGGUGAAAUGCGUAGAGAUCUGGAGGAAAUACCGGUGGCGAAGGCGGCCCCCUGGAACGACGACUGACGCUCAGGUGCGAAAGCGUGGGGAGCAAACAAGGAUA